Molecule: ribosomal RNA, 1367 nt
Filed under: uncultured prokaryote
Description: partial 16S ribosomal RNA
Rfam family: Bacterial small subunit ribosomal RNA
Source: RNAcentral
AUGAACGCUAGCGGCAGGCUUAACACAUGCAAGUAGAACGGUAACAGUCCUUCGGGAGCUGACGAGUUGCGAACGGGUGCGUAACGCGUAUGCAACCUACCUUUAACUGAGGGAUAGCCCAGAGAAAUUUGGAUUAAUACCGCAUAACAACUUAAGAUGGCAUCAUCUAAAGUUUAAAACUCCGGUGGUUAAAGAUGGGCAUGCGUGACAUUAGCUAGUUGGUGAGGUAACUGCUCACCAAGGCUACGAUGUCUAGGGGUUCUGAGAGGAUGAUCCCCCACACUGGUACUGAGACACGGACCAGACUCCUACGGGAGGCAGCAGUGAGGAAUAUUGCGCAAUGGAGGAAACUCUGACGCAGCCAUGCCGCGUGCAGGAUGACUGCCCUAUGGGUUGUAAACUGCUUUUAUAUAGGAAGAAUUGCAGAUACGUGUAUCUGUUUGACGGUACUAUACGAAUAAGGACCGGCUAACUCCGUGCCAGCAGCCGCGGUAAUACGGAGGGUCCAAGCGUUAUCCGGAAUUAUUGGGUUUAAAGGGUCCGUAGGCGGGAAAUUAAGUCAGUGGUGAAAUCCUACAGCUCAACUGUGGAACUGCCAUUGAAACUGGUUUUCUUGAAUGUAGAUGAAGUGGGCGGAAUGUGUCAUGUAGCGGUGAAAUGCUUAGAGAUCUGAAGGAAUACCAGUGGCGAAGGCGGCCCCCUGGAUUGAUACUGACACUAAGGUGCGAAAGCGUGGGGAGCAAACAGGAUUAGAUACCCUGGUAGUCCACGCCGUAAACGAUGUCUACUAGCCGUUGGGGAGCUUGCCUCCUUAGUGGCGCAGCUAACGCAAUAAGUAGACCGCCUGGGGAGUACGGUCGCAAGAUUAAAACUCAAAUGAAUUGACGGGGGCCCGCACAAGCGGUGGAGCAUGUGGUUUAAUUCGAUGCAACGCGAAGAACCUUACCAGGUCUUGACAUCCUGCGAACUUUCUAGAGAUAGAUUGGUGCCUUCGGGAACGCAGUGACAGGUGCUGCAUGGCUGUCGUCAGCUCGUGUUGUGAAAUGUUGGGUUAAGUCCCGUAACGAGCGCAACCCUUGUCCUUAUUUGCCAGCACGUAAUGGUGGGAACUCUAAGGAGACUGCCGGUGACAAACCGGAGGAAGGUGGGGACGACGUCAAGUCAUCAUGGCCCUUACGACCUGGGCUACACACGUGCUACAAUGGGAGGUACAGAGGGACGCAAACCCGCGAGGGGGAGCUAAUCCCACAAAACCGGUCGUAGUCCGGAUUGGAGUCUGCAACUCGACUCCAUGAAGUCGGAAUCGCUAGUAAUCGUGAAUCAGAAUGUCACGGUGAAUACGUUCCCGGGCCUUGUACACACUGCCC